Molecule: ribosomal RNA, 253 nt
Filed under: uncultured bacterium
Lineage: Bacteria
Description: partial 16S ribosomal RNA
Rfam family: Bacterial small subunit ribosomal RNA
Source: RNAcentral
UACGGGGGGGGCAAGCGUUGUUCGGAAUUACUGGGCGUAAAGGGCGCGUAGGCGGCCUACUAAGUCGGACGUGAAAUCCCUCGGCUCAACCGAGGAACUGCGUCCGAUACUGGUGGGCUUGAAUCCGGGAGAGGGAUGUGGAAUUCCAGGUGUAGCGGUGAAAUGCGUAGAUAUCUGGAAGAACACCCGUGGCGAAAGCGGCUCUCUGGAACGGUACUGACGCUGAGACGCGAAAGCGUGGGGAGCGAACAGG